This 98-nucleotide transfer RNA is filed under the name Cenarchaeum symbiosum A. It matches the Rfam family "tRNA". Rfam says of the family: Transfer RNA (tRNA) molecules are approximately 80 nucleotides in length. The record is from Rfam by way of RNAcentral. Lineage: Archaea; Thermoproteati; Nitrososphaerota; Candidatus Cenarchaeales; Candidatus Cenarchaeaceae.
GCAGGGGUAUCGAAGCCCGGUCAACCGAGAAGGACUCAAGAUCACGGUGGGUGAUCCUUUCCCCCAGGGGUUCGUGGGUUCAAAUCCCACCUCCUGCA